Molecule: ribosomal RNA, 493 nt
Filed under: uncultured bacterium
Lineage: Bacteria
Description: partial 16S ribosomal RNA
Rfam family: Bacterial small subunit ribosomal RNA
Source: RNAcentral
GACGAACGCUGGCGGCGUGCUUAACACAUGCAAGUCGAACGGUGAAGCGCCUUCCUUUUUGGUGGGUGUGGAUGAGUGGCGAACGGGUGAGUAACACGUGAGUAACCUGCCCCCUUCUUCUGGAUAACCGCAUGAAAGUGUGGCUAAUACGGGAUAUUCUGGGUCUGUCGCAUGAUGGGUCUGGGAAAGAUAUUGUUUCGGUGGGGGAUGGGCUCGCGGCCUAUCAGCUUGUUGGUGGGGUGAUGGCCUACCAAGGCGGUGACGGGUGGCCGGCCUGAGGGGUGGGCGGGCCACAUGGGAGCGGGGCCACGGCCAGACUGCUAACGGGGGCAGCCGGUGGGGAGAUUGGAACAUGGGGGGAAGGCUGAAGGAGGCGAGGCGCGGUAGGGAUGGAGGCCUUCGGGUUGUGAACCUCUUUCGCCAGUGAAGCAGGCCUGCCUCGUUUGUGGGUGGGUUGACGGUAGCUGGAGAAGAAGCGCCGGCUAACUACGUG